RNAcentral lists this long non-coding RNA (378 nucleotides) under Gossypium raimondii (Peruvian cotton). Its description in RNAcentral is "long non-coding RNA (GRAI_LNC008238)". The record is from RNAcentral. Lineage: Eukaryota; Viridiplantae; Streptophyta; Magnoliopsida; Malvales; Malvaceae.
UUUAGUGGCUCUAUUAACUACAACACUAUUAUGCUUUGUUUCUUUUUAGUCGUUUCCCAUUUGGUUUUCAUAUUUUUCAAACAUCAAGAGGUUGGGUCCAUUUCAGGUUGUGAGAAUUUAGGUUACAUCAUUUUCGAUUUUAAUUUUUUUUUUAUUUUAUACUUGAAUCUUUGCUGUUGGAGUUAUUUUAGAUUCAUAUCAAUUUUGAUUUGAGUCAGUUUCGAUUUCAUGUUAUUAAUUGAGUUUAUCAAUCAGGGGUUUUAAGUUGAGAGAUUUUGAGUUCAAGUCAUUUGAGUUUUUCCAUUUAGGUUUUUCACUAAAACUGGAAUCAUUUCAAACGACUUGUUUAGGUGAUUCUGGGUUUUAAUCAUUCCAAAU